This 410-nucleotide long non-coding RNA is filed under the name Salvia miltiorrhiza (redroot sage). Its description in RNAcentral is "long non-coding RNA (SMIL_LNC000976)". The record is from RNAcentral. Lineage: Eukaryota; Viridiplantae; Streptophyta; Magnoliopsida; Lamiales; Lamiaceae.
GUUGAGAAUAAAAAAAGUUAGUCAAAAGAUAAAGUUAGUCAAAAGAUAAUCAAGGAUCCCUUAAUUAUAGGGAUCCUCAUGAUGUUGUAGGAAUAUUCAUGAUGUUGUAGGGAUCCUUAUGAUGUUGUAGGAAUCCUCAUGAUGUUGUAGGGAUCCUCAUGAUGUUGUAGAAUAUCAGCUCCCUUUCUAAACACUAUAAAAGGGGAUGAUUGUAUCAGCAGGAAAAAUCAAGAAAAAAGAAAUACAAGAACAAUAUUCAAGAAACAAAUUCUCUCUUCUAUGAUGAUAACAUGUUUUUAACAUGGUAUCAGAGCGGGUUAAAUCCUUGAAACUCAGAAAAUUAUCAUCAUAGUUUCCAAAUCCCUUACUUAAACCUUUUUUUUUUUUUUUCCGAUCAAACCUGUUCUUAU